UUUUUUGAGGCAGAGUCUCGCUCUGUCGUCCAGGCUGGAGUGCAAUGGCGCUAUCUCCGCUCACUGCAAGCUCCGCCUCCCGGGUUCACGCCAUUCUCCUGCCUCAGCCUCCCGAGUAGCUGGGACUACAGGCGCCCGCCACCACGCCCAGCUAAUUUUUUUUGUGUUUUUAGUAGAGAUGGG
Molecule: non-coding RNA, 183 nt
Filed under: Pongo abelii (Sumatran orangutan)
Lineage: Eukaryota; Metazoa; Chordata; Mammalia; Primates; Hominidae
Source: RNAcentral